This 723-nucleotide ribosomal RNA is filed under the name uncultured bacterium. RNAcentral describes it as "bacterial SSU rRNA". It matches the Rfam family "Bacterial small subunit ribosomal RNA", at positions 60 to 775 of the family's 1533-position model. The record is from RNAcentral.
AGUCGACGGUACAGGAAGAAGCUUGCUUCUUUGCUGACGAGUGGCGGACGGGUGAGUAAUGUCUGGGAAACUGCCUGAUGGAGGGGGAUAACUACUGGAAACGGUAGCUAAUACCGCAUAACGUCGCAAGACCAAAGAGGGGGACCUUCGGGCCUCUUGCCAUCGGAUGUGCCCAGAUGGGAUUAGCUAGUAGGUGGGGUAACGGCUCACCUAGGCGACGAUCCCUAGCUGGUCUGAGAGGAUGACCAGCCACACUGGAACUGAGACACGGUCCAGACUCCUACGGGAGGCAGCAGUGGGGAAUAUUGCACAAUGGGCGCGAGCCUGAUGCAGCCAUGCCGCGUGUAUGAAGAAGGCCUUCGGGUUGUAAAGACUUUCAGCGGGGAGGAAGGGAGUAAAGUUAAUACCUUUGCUCAUUGACGUUACCCGCAGUAGAAGCACCGGCUAACUCCGUGCCAGCGGCCGCGGUAAUACGGAGGGUGCAAGCGUUAAUCGGAAUUACUGGGCGUAAAGCGCACGCAGGCGGUUUGUUAAGUCAGAUGUGAAAUCCCCGGGCUCAACCUGGGAACUGCAUCUGAUACUGGCGAGCUUGAGUCUCGUAGAGGGGGGUAGAAUUCCAGGUGUAGCGGUGAAAUGCGUAGAGAUCUGGAGGAAUACCGGUGGCGAAGGCGGCCCCCUGGACGAAGACUGACGCUCAGGUGCGAAAGCGUGGGGAGCAACAGG